Molecule: ribosomal RNA, 501 nt
Filed under: uncultured bacterium
Lineage: Bacteria
Description: partial 16S ribosomal RNA
Rfam family: Bacterial small subunit ribosomal RNA
Source: RNAcentral
AUUGAACGCUGGCGGCAGGCUUAACACAUGCAAGUCGAGCGGGGGAAGGUAGCUUGCUACCGGACCUAGCGGCGGACGGGUGAGUAAUGCUUAGGAAUCUGCCUAUUAGUGGGGGACAACAUCUCGAAAGGGAUGCUAAUACCGCAUACGUCCUACGGGAGAAAGCAGGGGAUCUUCGGACCUUGCGCUAAUAGAUGAGCCCAGGUCGGAUUAGCUAGUUGGUGGGGUAAAGGCCUACCAAGCCGACGAUCUGUAGCGGGUCUGAGAGGAUGAUCCGCCACACUGGGACUGAGACACGGCCCAGACUCCUACGGGAGGCAGCAGUGGGGAAUAUUGGACAAUGGGGGGAACCCUGAUCCAGCCAUGCCGCGUGCGUGAAGAAGGCCUUAUGGUUGUAAAGCACUUUAAGCGAGGAGGAGGCUACUCUAGUUAAUACCUAGGGAUAGUGGACGUUACUCGCAGAAUAAGCACCGGCUAACUCUGUGCCAGCAGCCGCGGUAA